This 307-nucleotide ribosomal RNA is filed under the name Amoebophrya sp. RNAcentral describes it as "SSU rRNA". It matches the Rfam family "Eukaryotic small subunit ribosomal RNA", at positions 595 to 906 of the family's 1831-position model. Lineage: Eukaryota; Dinophyceae; Syndiniales; Amoebophryaceae. The record is from RNAcentral.
UAGCGUAUAUUAAAGUUGUUGCGGUUAAAAAGCUCGUAGUUGGAUUUCUGUUGAGGGCGACCGGUCCGUACUAUGUGCGUGUAUCUGGCUUGGCCUCGGCAUCCUCUGACAAUACGGUUCUGCGCUUGAUUGCGUGGUCCGGAGUGUCAGACUUUUACUUUGAGGAAAUUAGAGUGUUCACGGCAGGCAAACGCCUUGAAUAUAUUAGCAUGGAAUAAUAAUAUAGGAUCUUGGUCCUAUUUUGUUGGUUUCUAGGGCUAAGAUAAUGAUUAAUAGGGACAAUUGGGGGCAUUCGUAUUAAUGCGUC